GGCACAGUGGUAGAGUGGUUAAUACGUGAGACUCGAAUUCGCCAAAUGUGGUUAGUCUGCAUUGGCCAAGCUUAGACCAUCUCAUGCCUUCGGGCGCGUAGGUUCGAAUCCUGCCUGUGUCG
This is a transfer RNA of 122 nucleotides. It matches the Rfam family "tRNA". From Rfam's summary of the family: Transfer RNA (tRNA) molecules are approximately 80 nucleotides in length. Their secondary structure includes four short double-helical elements and three loops (D, anti-codon, and T loops). Further hydrogen bonds mediate the characteristic L-shaped molecular structure. tRNAs have two regions of fundamental functional importance: the anti-codon, which is responsible for specific mRNA codon recognition, and the 3' end, to which the tRNAs corresponding amino acid is attached (by aminoacyl-tRNA synthetases). tRNAs cope with the degeneracy of the genetic code in two manners: having more than one tRNA (with a specific anti-codon) for a particular amino acid; and 'wobble' base-pairing, i.e. permitting non-standard base-pairing at the 3rd anti-codon position. The record is from Rfam.